CCACUGCUAUCGGGAUGGGACUAAGACAUGCUAGUCGAGCGCCUCCUAGCCACGCUGGAGGCGCGGCGCACAGCUCAGUAGCACGUGGCUAACCUGCCCUCGGGACGGGAACAUCCUCGGGAAACUGGGGUCAAUUCCCGAUAGGUGAAGACUCCUGGAAUGGACCUUCGCCCAAAAGACGUUUAGGUCAUGCUUCUAAGCGUUGCCCAAGGAUGGGGCCGCGGCCGAUCAGGCUGUUGGUGAGGUAACGGCUCACCAAACCUUUGACCGGUUCGGGCCGCGGGAGCGGUGGCCCGGAGAUGGGCACUGAGACAAGGGCCCAGGCCCUACGGGGCGCAGCAGUCGCGAAAACUUCGCAAUAAGCGAAAGCUUGACGGGGCCAUCCCGAGUGCCAUCUGCUGAGGAUGGCUUUUACCCAGUAUAGAUAGCUGGGGGAAUAAGGAGAGGGCAAGUCUGGUGUCAGCCGCCGCGGUAAUACCAGCUCUCCGAGUUGUGGGGACGUUUAUUGAGCCUGAAGCAUCCGUAGCCGGCUGUGCAAGUCCUCUGUUAAAUCCAGCGAUAAAUCGUUGGUCUGCGGGGGAUACUGCUCGGCUAGGAGGCGGGAGAGGCCGUCGGUAUUCUUGGGGUAGGGGUGAAAUCCUAUAAUCCCAGGAGGACCACCAGUGGCGAAGGCUGUCGGCUAGAACGUGCUCGACGGUGAGGGAUGAAAGCUGGGGGAGCGAACCGGAUUAGAUACCCGGGUAGUCCCAGCUGUAAACGAUGCAGGCUAGGUGUUAGGGCGGCUACGUGCCGCUCUAGUGCCGCAGGGAAGCUGUUAAGCCUGCCGCUUGGGGAGUACGGCCGCAAGGCUGAAACUUAAAGGAAUUGGCGGGGGAGCACCACAAGGGGUGAAGCUUGCGG
This 900-nucleotide ribosomal RNA is filed under the name uncultured archaeon. RNAcentral describes it as "bacterial SSU rRNA". It matches the Rfam family "Archaeal small subunit ribosomal RNA", at positions 24 to 900 of the family's 1478-position model. The record is from RNAcentral.